CUUCGCUGGCGGCGUGCCUAAUACAUGCAAGUCGAACGAACUCUGGUAUUGAUUGGUGCUUGCAUCAUGAUUUACAUUUGAGUGAGUGGCGAACUGGUGAGUAACACGUGGGAAACCUGCCCAGAAGCGGGGGAUAACACCUGGAAACAGAUGCUAAUACCGCAUAACAACUUGGACCGCAUGGUCCGAGCUUGAAAGAUGGCUUCGGCUAUCACUUCUGGAUGGUCCCGCGGCGUAUUAGCUAGAUGGUGAGGUAACGGCCCACCAUGGCAAUGAUACGUAGCCGACCUGAGAGGGUAAUCGGCCACAUUGGGACUGAGACACGGCCCAAACUCCUACGGGAGGCAGCAGUAGGGAAUCUUCCAGAAUGGACGAAAGUCUGAUGGAGCAACGCCGCGUGAGUGAAGAAGGGUUUCGGCUCGUAAAACUCUGUUGUUAAAGAAGAACAUAUCUGAGAGUAACUGUUCAGGUAUUGACGGAAUUUAACCAGAAAGCCACGGCUAACUACGUGCCAGCAGCCGCGGUAAUACGUAGGUGGCAAGCGUUGUCCGGAUUUAUUGGGCGUAAAGCGAGCGCAGGCGGUUUUUUAAGUCUGAUGUGAAAGCCUUCGGCUCAACCGAAGAAGUGCAUCGGAAACUGGGAAACUUGAGCGCAGAAGAGGACAGUGGAACUCCAUGUGUAGCGGUGAAAUGCGUAGAUAUAUGGAAGAACACCAGUGGCGAAGGCGGCUGUCUGGUCUGUAACUGACGCUGAGGCUCGAAAGUAUGGGUAGCAAACAGGAUUAGAUACCCUGGUAGUCCAUACCGUAAACGAUGAAUGCUAAGUGUUGGAGGGUUUCCGCCCUUCAGUGCUGCAGCUAACGCAUUAAGCAUUCCGCCUGGGGAGUACGGCCGCAAGGCUGAAACUCAAAGGAAUUGACGGGGGCCCGCACAUGCGGUGGAGCAUGUGGUUUAAUUCGAAGCUACGCGAAGAACCUUACCAGGUCUUGACAUACUACGCUAACCUGAGAGAUCAGGCGUUCCCUUCGGGGACGUGGAUACAGGUGGUGCAUGGUUGUCGUCAGCU
RNAcentral lists this ribosomal RNA (1065 nucleotides) under Lactobacillus sp. Its description in RNAcentral is "bacterial SSU rRNA". It matches the Rfam family "Bacterial small subunit ribosomal RNA", at positions 31 to 1060 of the family's 1533-position model. The record is from RNAcentral. Lineage: Bacteria; Bacillati; Bacillota; Bacilli; Lactobacillales; Lactobacillaceae.